This 262-nucleotide ribosomal RNA is filed under the name uncultured bacterium. Its description in RNAcentral is "partial 16S ribosomal RNA". It matches the Rfam family "Bacterial small subunit ribosomal RNA", at positions 1240 to 1500 of the family's 1533-position model. The record is from RNAcentral.
CAACGAGUCGCAAGCUCGCGAGAGUAAGCUAAUCUCUUAAAGCCGUUCUCAGUUCGGACUGUAGGCUGCAACUCGCCUACACGAAGUCGGAAUCGCUAGUAAUCGCGGAUCAGCAUGCCGCGGUGAAUACGUUCCCGGGCCUUGUACACACCGCCCGUCACACCAUGGGAGUUUGUAACGCCCAAAGUCGGUGGCCUAACCUUUAUGGAGGGAGCCGCCUAAGGCGGGACAGAUGACUGGGGUGAAGUCGUAACAAGGUAGC